This 253-nucleotide ribosomal RNA is filed under the name uncultured bacterium. RNAcentral describes it as "partial 16S ribosomal RNA". It matches the Rfam family "Bacterial small subunit ribosomal RNA", at positions 524 to 776 of the family's 1533-position model. The record is from RNAcentral.
UACGUAGGGGGCGAGCGUUGUCCGGAUUUAUUGGGCGUAAAGAGCGUGUAGGCUGUUCGGUAAGUCUGCCGUGAAAACCUGAGGCUCAACCUCGGGCGUGCGGUGGAUACUGCCGGGCUAGAGGACGGUAGAGGCGAGUGGAAUUCCCGGUGUAGCGGUGAAAUGCGCAGAUAUCAGGAGGAACACCAAUGGCGAAGGCAGCUCGCUGGGACGGUACUGACGCUGAGACGCGAAAGCGUGGGGAGCAAACAGG